UACGUAGGGAGCAAGCGUUGUCCGGAAUCAUUGGGCGUAAAGCGCGCGUAGGCGGCCCUGUAAGUCCGUUGUGAAAGUCAAAGGCUCAACCUUUGAAAGCCGAUGGAUACUGCAGGGCUGGAGUCCGGAAGAGGCGAGUGGAAUUCCUGGUGUAGCGGUGGAAUGCGCAGAUAUCAGGAGGAACACCAAUAGCGAAGGCGGCUCACUGGACCGGUACUGACGCUGAGGCGCGAAAGCGUGGGGAGCAAACAGG
This 253-nucleotide ribosomal RNA is filed under the name uncultured bacterium. RNAcentral describes it as "partial 16S ribosomal RNA". It matches the Rfam family "Bacterial small subunit ribosomal RNA", at positions 524 to 776 of the family's 1533-position model. The record is from RNAcentral.